GUUGGGAUACUUUAAGAGAUGGAUUGGUGCCUUCGGGAACUCUGAGACAGGUGCUGCAUGGCUGUCGUCAGCUCGUGUUGUGAAAUGUUGGGUUAAGUCCCGCAACGAGCGCAACCCUUAUCCUUGUUUGCCAGCGAGUAAUGUCGGGAACUCCAGGGAGACUGCCGGUGAUAAACCGGAGGAAGGUGGGGACAACGUCAAGUCAUCAUGGCCCUUACGAGUAGGGCUACACACGUGCUACAAUGGCGCAUACAGAGGGCAGCAAGCUAGCGAUAGUGAGCGAAUCCCAAAAAGUGGGUCGUAGUCCGGAUUGGAGUCUGCAACUCGACUCCAUGAAGUCGGAAUCGCUAGUAAUCGUGGAUCAGAAUGCCACGGUGAAUACGUUCCCGGGUCUUGUACACACCG
Molecule: ribosomal RNA, 405 nt
Filed under: uncultured bacterium
Lineage: Bacteria
Description: bacterial SSU rRNA
Rfam family: Bacterial small subunit ribosomal RNA
Source: RNAcentral